AAUAAGAUCAUUUUUCAGUUUUUUGAUAUAAUGUUUUGACUCUUUGUCCUAUUUAAUUUUUUUGUUAUUAAUAUUUUUAUUCUUACUAGAUGAUAAAACAUAAAUAGUACUUUAUGCGUGACUAAUUUUUUUUAUUUUUUGUACAAUUUUUUUAAAAAAAACGAAUGAUCAAACGUUGGACAUGGAAAAACGG
Molecule: microRNA precursor, 193 nt
Filed under: Oryza brachyantha (malo sina)
Lineage: Eukaryota; Viridiplantae; Streptophyta; Magnoliopsida; Poales; Poaceae
Description: MIR812 microRNA precursor family
Rfam family: MIR812 microRNA precursor family
Source: Rfam by way of RNAcentral